RNAcentral lists this ribosomal RNA (253 nucleotides) under uncultured bacterium. RNAcentral's name for it is "partial 16S ribosomal RNA". It matches the Rfam family "Bacterial small subunit ribosomal RNA", at positions 524 to 776 of the family's 1533-position model. The record is from RNAcentral.
GACAGAGGUGCCAAGCGUUAGGCGGAAUCACUGGGCUUAAAGCGUGUGUAGGCGGGCGGGCAAGUACCUUGUGAAAUCCCACGGCUCAACCGUGGAACGGCUGGGUAUACUGCCUGUCUUGAGCCAGCUAGGGGCGACCGGAACAGACGGUGGAGCGGUGAAAUGCGUAGAUAUCGGAAGGAACUCCGGCGGCGAAAGCGAUGCACUGGCUGGUUUCUGACGCUGAGGUGCGAAAGCCAGGGGAGCAAACGGG